This 253-nucleotide ribosomal RNA is filed under the name uncultured bacterium. Its description in RNAcentral is "partial 16S ribosomal RNA". It matches the Rfam family "Bacterial small subunit ribosomal RNA", at positions 524 to 776 of the family's 1533-position model. The record is from RNAcentral.
GACAGAGGUCCCGAGCGUUACUCGGAAUCAUUGGGCGUAAAGCGUGCGUAGGCGGCUUUGUAAGUCGGAAGUGAAAGCCUGGGGCUCAACCCCAGAAUUGCUUUCGAAACUGCAGAGCUAGAAUACCAGAGGGGAUGGCGGAAUUCCUAGUGUAGAGGUGAAAUUCGUAGAUAUUAGGAGGAACACCGGUGGCGAAGGCGGCCAUCUGGCUGGUUAUUGACGCUGUUGCACGAAAGCGUGGGGAGCAAACAGG